GGCCCCGUAGCUCAGCUGGAUAGAGCGAUCGCCUCCUAAGCGAUAGGCCACUGGUUCGACUCCAGUCGGGGCCGCCA
This 77-nucleotide transfer RNA is filed under the name Desulfuromonas acetoxidans. Its description in RNAcentral is "tRNA-Arg". It matches the Rfam family "tRNA". From Rfam's summary of the family: Transfer RNA (tRNA) molecules are approximately 80 nucleotides in length. Their secondary structure includes four short double-helical elements and three loops (D, anti-codon, and T loops). Further hydrogen bonds mediate the characteristic L-shaped molecular structure. tRNAs have two regions of fundamental functional importance: the anti-codon, which is responsible for specific mRNA codon recognition, and the 3' end, to which the tRNAs corresponding amino acid is attached (by aminoacyl-tRNA synthetases). tRNAs cope with the degeneracy of the genetic code in two manners: having more than one tRNA (with a specific anti-codon) for a particular amino acid; and 'wobble' base-pairing, i.e. permitting non-standard base-pairing at the 3rd anti-codon position. The record is from RNAcentral. Lineage: Bacteria; Pseudomonadati; Thermodesulfobacteriota; Desulfuromonadia; Desulfuromonadales; Desulfuromonadaceae. RNAcentral also lists the same sequence under 3 other names.